This 815-nucleotide long non-coding RNA is filed under the name Homo sapiens (human). Its description in RNAcentral is "HSALNT0354126". Lineage: Eukaryota; Metazoa; Chordata; Mammalia; Primates; Hominidae. The record is from RNAcentral.
AGUGUCUAGUAUAGAGCUAUGUUACAUUGAAUGGCAAAAGUGACUUUGUAGAGGUAAGUUGUUUAAAAAUUUGCUUUAUAUACAGAUAAGGAAGAUGUGCUGAAAAGAUACAACUACAUGGCACUGUAGACUUAUUUAUUCUGUCUUCUGGGAAUAUAGCAGACAGUUGGCUUAGCAACUCUGAGUGGUGGGCUCAACAGAAGAACAAGCUGAUAGAAGUCCUUGGGCUCUGAGGCUCCAUUCUAAUCAAAGUACUUCUCCAACCAGAGGACUUCCAUUGAUCAAUAGCCACUCAGAUGUUCUGUGUUUGCCAUGAGUAUCGGACUUCAGUCUUCUGGAAAGAUGGCUGUGGUGCCUAAACACAUCUGUGCCUGGCCUCACCCGCGGGACUUCGGACAUUUCACUUAAUGCUGAAAAUUCACUCUACUGCCACUACUCAGGACUUCUGAUGGGCAUGAAAAUCCAAGCCUGCUUUAUGAUAUUAACCUCUGAAUUUCAUAAACCGCUUAAAACUUUAGAAUGUCCAGAAAACACUGGUAGAAUACGGACACAUGAGACAAGGCCAGAAAGGAAGUCAAUAAAAUGUGAUUACUAAGCAAAUUACCACCAGAGAAGCAGAAGGAAAUCCCUCUUCAAUAUUUUGAGAGACAGUAAAGAACAUUCCCUGGAGUUAGGACAAAUGAAGAGCAAGAAGUUUCAUCUUGCUCUGUCAUCCAGGCUGGAGUGCAGGGGCACCAUCUCGGCUCACUGAAACCUCCACUUCCCGGGUUCAAGCGAUUCUCCUGCCUCAGCCUCCUGAGUAACUGGGGUUACAG